Long non-coding RNA from Salvia miltiorrhiza (redroot sage), 532 nucleotides. RefSeq lists it as uncharacterized. The record is from RefSeq and is a predicted model, not a curated record. The transcript has 3 exons. Lineage: Eukaryota; Viridiplantae; Streptophyta; Magnoliopsida; Lamiales; Lamiaceae.
UUUCCCUACCACUAAUCUUUUUCCCUACCACUACUCCUACCUCUCCACCACACUACUCCUUUUCCCCCACCACUACAUUCUUUCUCCCACUCUCACAACUUUUCUCCCACCAUUAUCACACUCCAUAGAAGCCUUUGAAGCCCCAAGAGAAGUAGCAAAGCAAGGGAGAGUGUGGGAAAACUAUAGAGUGAAGGUUGUGCUUCGAGGGUCCGGGCGACAGAAAGUGAAGCCGAAGAAGAAACGACUCCACGCCAGCUUUAAGAACAAUUGAGGUUGAGCAGGCGAUGGAAUGGAUCGGUGUUGAGCGGAUUUCCCUUUUGAUGUUUAUGUAAUGAAACCUUGAGUAUGCAUCUCCAUAUGCAUAACUCACACGUUUUUUUUCGCUGCAAACACUCUGACUUAUUUAUCAUUUCUACUUGAACUUAUUACUACUUCAUUUUAAUUAACUUUCAGUUGGGGUCUAGUCGUUAUGGCAGACUCAUUUGUGAAUUACCCAAGUGGUUAUAUAUAUAUACCACUAGUUUGUUAUUAA